AAACAUAACCUUUAGCCAAACAAGUAUUAAAGGCAACGCCUGCCCAGUGAAUAAUUCAACGGCCGCGGUACCCUAACCGUGCAAAGGUAGCAUAAUCAUUUGUCUAUUAAUUGUAGACCUGUAUGAAUGGCAAAAUGAGGGUUCAACUGUCUCUUAUAAUAAGUCUAUUAAACUGAUCUUCUAGUAAAAAAGCUAGAAUACCCCCAUAAGACCAGAAGACCCUGUGAAGCUUAAACUAAACCAUUAAACCCAAUAAUGACUACUUUCGGUUGGGGCGACCUUGGAAAUAAAAAUAACUUCCAAUACAUGUGAUACACCACACCCACUAGGCCUACAAGCCAAUAAAUGACCCAGUACUACUGAUAAUAGAAUAAAGUUACUCCAGGGAUAACAGCGCUAUCUUCUUCAAGAGCCCAUAUCAAAAAGAAGGUUUACGACCUCGAUGUUGGAUCAGGACAUCCUAAUGGUGCAACCGCUAUUAAGGGUUCGUUUGUUCAACGAUUAAUGUCCUACGUGAU
Molecule: ribosomal RNA, 518 nt
Filed under: Thamnophis sirtalis
Lineage: Eukaryota; Metazoa; Chordata; Lepidosauria; Squamata; Natricidae
Description: partial 16S ribosomal RNA
Rfam family: Bacterial large subunit ribosomal RNA
Source: RNAcentral